Molecule: ribosomal RNA, 475 nt
Filed under: uncultured bacterium
Lineage: Bacteria
Description: bacterial SSU rRNA
Rfam family: Bacterial small subunit ribosomal RNA
Source: RNAcentral
GACGAACGCUGGCGGCGUGCUUAACACAUGCAAGUCGAACGGUGACGAGGAGCUUGCUCCUCUGAUCAGUGGCGAACGGGUGAGUAACACGUGAGCAACCUGCCCCAGACUCUGGGAUAACAGUUGGAAACAGCUGCUAAUACCGGAUACGAGACGGAGAGGCAUCUCUACCGUCUGGAAAGUUUUUCGGUCUGGGAUGGACUCGCGGCCUAUCAGCUAGUUGGUGAGGUAAUGGCUCACCAAGGCGACGACGGGUAGCCGGCCUGAGAGGGCGACCGGCCACACUGGGACUGAGACACGGCCCAGACUCCUACGGGAGGCAGCAGUGGGGAAUAUUGCACAAUGGGCGAAAGCCUGAUGCAGCGACGCCGCGUGAGGGAUGACGGCCUUCGGUUGUAACGUACUUUCUAGCGAGGAAGAAGACGAAAGUAGACGGUACGUGCAGAAGAAGACGACCGGACUAACUACGUACGCC